RNAcentral lists this ribosomal RNA (422 nucleotides) under Bacillus sp. HPC 644. Its description in RNAcentral is "bacterial SSU rRNA". It matches the Rfam family "Bacterial small subunit ribosomal RNA", at positions 39 to 451 of the family's 1533-position model. Lineage: Bacteria; Bacillati; Bacillota; Bacilli; Caryophanales; Bacillaceae. The record is from RNAcentral.
GGGAAGUUCUCACGCGGUUUGCCUAAUUUUUUACCUGGACCCCAUGACGUUUUAUCUUGCUCCUCUGAUUUAGCGGCGGACGGGUGAGUAACACGUGGGCAACCUGCCCUGCAGACUGGGAUAACUUCGGGAAACCGGAGCUAAUACCGGAUAAUCCAUUUUACUUCAUGGUGAAAUGUUGAAAGGCGCUUUCGCGCCACUGCAGGAUGGGCCCGCGGUGCAUUACUAGUUGGUGGGGUAACGGCCUACCAAGGCGACAUGCAUAGCCGACCUGAGAGGGUGAUCGGCCACAUUGGGACUGAACACGGCCCAAACUCCUACGGGAGGCAGCUAGGGAAUCUUCCACAAUGGAAAAAGUCUGAUGGAGCACGCCGCGUGAUGAUGAAGUUUUCGGAUCGAAAACUCUGUUGAAGGGAAGAACA